UAACAGGAUAGAUAGACCAGGACAUGCUUAUUACGAAAAUAAAUCACCUAGGCUUGGCACCCCCUAAGAACUGAGGAAUCUUAGGUCAAAGUUCAAGGUCAUUCUCGGCGGACCCUUUGGAUUCUCGUAAAAAUUGGUACAACUAUAGUCCAUGAAAAGCUGAUUUCAAAAAUAUCAAUUUCUUACUUUGGCAAGCAGCACGAACUGAUAUAUAGUAGGUCAAAGGUCAGAAUCAAGGUCACGUAUGUGUAAUACAGGAAGUGGAAGUGACCACGUGGCCAGGAUGCCGGCGGCGGCGACGACAGUGCGCCGGCGCACAUCUCUAUGGAGGUGGACACGGCGACCCGUGGGCGACCGCCGCUGCCGCGGUUUGCUACAGGUGGCCAUGGCCACUAGUCUGUUGGAGGAGGCGCCCCCGGCACAGGUCCCAACCGCCGGAGACGCGGCAGAGACCGGGCAGUGGGCUGGCUUCCAGUCGCAAUACGACGCGGUCGUGACAGCGUCUCAGUGCACAGGAGCUGCGGCUGUGGACGAUUGUUGAGAGACGGCGCGGGGCACCGAUAGAAGCUUGUCUGCUAGAGAUCAAAUCCUGUCUGCUGGUGGUAUAUAAUGCCGCGUAGCCCCGUGUCCGUGAUGAUCUUUUAAGGCCGAGCUAGCUACACUAAGCGUGACCGUCCAGGAAACUAGAAAGCACCGACGUGUACUGCGUGUUCGUGCUCACUGGAUUCCCUUGAUACCGGCUUCUACGAUUAUCCAUAUUUUCCUUGAGCUACCGUAUGCCCACGCAAGCGUGAUAACGAGCGAGUACCAUGCCGAUAAUACGAUAUGUAUGAACAAGAAUAUCUUGUGAUUGAAAUUGCACAGCCAUGCACUACCGAAGUUCAUCGCUGAAAUUGCAUCUAGACCUGUGUAAUUUCUUACUAACAGUAAGAAGCUCGACAGUAGUUUCGGUAGCAGACAGUAUGUAGACUACUUGUGUCUUGUAGACAGUAGAGCUCGUCUUGACGGCGAAAUGUCAUUGUCCAAUUUUUCACUGUCCGGCGACCGCGGGAUGACAUUAACACUGUAUGUCACGCCGUGCACAUUAUGAGCUGACCUUUCCGUGACCUCUCACUGGUAGCCCGCUACAUAGCGCCAUGAGGGGUCGUUGUGUCUGUCGUUAGGCGUCCCGGCCGGUCCGCCGGUCUCCGGCUGUCUGGGUGACGAGCGGCGUCUGUGGCGACCCCGCUCAGGACGCACCAGCCGCUGGCUCUCCAGCAGACGGCGCACGACCUGGGUGUUGCCUGCUGCCAUUAUCCAUUAUCCAUUAGCAAUCCACAUGUGCCUUUGUCUGUUUUCGUUGUGAAUAAAUGUUUGCCUUGACAAGCGA
Amphibalanus amphitrite is the source of this 1369-nucleotide long non-coding RNA. RefSeq lists it as uncharacterized. The transcript has 2 exons. NCBI's taxonomy places the organism in Eukaryota, Metazoa, Arthropoda, Thecostraca, Balanomorpha, Balanidae. The record is from RefSeq and is a predicted model, not a curated record.